RNAcentral lists this ribosomal RNA (253 nucleotides) under uncultured bacterium. RNAcentral describes it as "partial 16S ribosomal RNA". It matches the Rfam family "Bacterial small subunit ribosomal RNA", at positions 524 to 776 of the family's 1533-position model. The record is from RNAcentral.
UACGGGGGGGGCAAGCGUUGUUCGGAAUUACUGGGCGUAAAGGGCUCGUAGGCGGCCAACUAAGUCGGACGUGAAAUCCCCAGGCUCAACCUGGGAACUGCAUCCGAUACUGGAUGGCUUGAAUUCGGGAGAGGGAUGCAGAAUUCCAGGUGUAGCGGUGAAAUGCGUAGAUAUCAGGAGGAACACCAGCGGCGAAGGCGGCGCUCUGGGCCGGUACUGACACUGAGGAGCGAAAGCGUGGGUAGCAAACAGG